This 568-nucleotide ribosomal RNA is filed under the name uncultured bacterium. Its description in RNAcentral is "bacterial SSU rRNA". It matches the Rfam family "Bacterial small subunit ribosomal RNA", at positions 920 to 1488 of the family's 1533-position model. The record is from RNAcentral.
CCCGCACAAGCGGUGGAGCAUGUGGUUUAAUUCGACGCAACGCGAAGAACCUUACCUGGCCUUGACAUCCUGCGAACUUUCUAGAGAUAGAUUGGUGCCUUCGGGAACGCAGUGACAGGUGCUGCAUGGCCGUCGUCAGCUCGUGUCGUGAGAUGUUGGGUUAAGUCCCGUAACGAGCGCAACCCCUAUCCCUAGUUGCUAGCAGUUCGGCUGAGAACUCUAGGGAGACUGCCGGUGACAAACCGGAGGAAGGUGGGGAUGACGUCAGGUCAUCAUGGCCCUUACGGCCAGGGCUACACACGUGCUACAAUGGCGCGCACAGAGGGCUGCAAACCCGCGAGGGUAAGCCAAUCUCUUAAAACGCGUCGUAGUCCGGAUCGCAGUCUGCAACUCGACUGCGUGAAGUCGGAAUCGCUAGUAAUCGCGAAUCAGAAUGUCGCGGUGAAUACGUUCCCGGGCCUUGUACACGCCGCCCGUCACACCAUGGGAGUGGAUUGCACCAGAAGUGGUUAGUCUAACCUUCGGGAGGACGAUCACCACGGUGUGGUUCAUGACUGGGGUGAAGUCG